CAAACCAGAGGCAAUCCAAUAUGGCGGCCGGCGAUGAUCAUUUUCAAUUACAGAAUGAUUUUACAAACUAUUUCGAAGUCAUUCAGUAAUUUACAUAUUGAAAUGCCUGAAAAAUGGCAACAUUAACAAGAUAUGGUCUUUGUUUGCUUUCAAGAGGAUCAUUAAGGCAUUUUAUUAACACUGGGAGUGUUGUUUUGCACAAAACCAUACCCACGUGGAGGACGUUUCGCACUUGUCGAGGUAUUAAAAUCCUGAUAUUUCUGCACGACAAACUAUCUUUAUUUUGUAUUCAAGAUGUUUUCUGUCGUUUAGGACCAAGCUUUGCUGGUGAAUAUGAGUGGCAAGAUCCUAAAUCUCCCGAUGAAAUGUAAGCUCUAUUUUAAUAGAUCCCCGUAUCAGUUUAUUCCAAAAA
Non-coding RNA from Paramuricea clavata, 412 nucleotides. The record is from the annotation of a GenBank genome assembly. Lineage: Eukaryota; Metazoa; Cnidaria; Anthozoa; Malacalcyonacea; Plexauridae.